UGAGAACUGAAUUCCAUAGGUUGUUAGGGGUUAGACCUAUGGUGCUUAGUUCCAUA
RNAcentral lists this microRNA precursor (56 nucleotides) under Xenopus laevis (African clawed frog). Its description in RNAcentral is "microRNA xla-mir-146a precursor". Its record names the gene xla-mir-146a. The record is from miRBase by way of RNAcentral. Lineage: Eukaryota; Metazoa; Chordata; Amphibia; Anura; Pipidae.